This is a long non-coding RNA of Sorex fumeus (smoky shrew), 226 nucleotides long. RefSeq lists it as uncharacterized. The record is from RefSeq and is a predicted model, not a curated record. NCBI's taxonomy places the organism in Eukaryota, Metazoa, Chordata, Mammalia, Eulipotyphla, Soricidae. The transcript is spliced from 3 exons.
CUGCUGCUGCUGCCCAGUUCUGCUGCUCCUCCUUGCAGCUGUGGUUGCUGCCAGCAGAUUGGUUUGACUCUGUUUUGGAAUAUCAUCUGUUUGGGACUCAGUAACGCUUUGGAGUUUUAUAGUAUGCCAGCCCUUCUAAAGACAGCGCGGGGCUGAGCAUCCACAGGAAAGAGCAGCGCAGCAUGCGGCUCCUUGGAAGGUGUUGAUUGAAAACUUCCCUCUCCCC